AAGUCGUAACAAGGUAACCGUAGGUGAACCUGCGGUUGGAUCAUUAAAAAUGGGGUUUUACCCCAGUUUUUUGAGGAGCAUUAGGGGGCUAUUUUUGUAACCGGCCAAAAGCUUUGGUUGCAAUGAGGUAGCUUUUUUCCCGCUCUUCUAAAGAAUAUCCCUCACGCAUGACCAACAAUCGGGUAACCGAUUGGGGUGAACCGGGGAGGGAUAUUCUUUAGGAACAACUUGUGCACUGUAAUUGUUUUUGGGCGAUUAAUUCAAAACUAAUCGCCCGCUGGUUUAACUUUACUACUAAACUUUUGACUGACGUUUAUCACUAUAAAUGAUUAAACAACUUUAGACAACGGAUCUCUUGGCUCUC
RNAcentral lists this unclassified non-coding RNA (364 nucleotides) under fungal sp. RNAcentral's name for it is "partial internal transcribed spacer region". The stretch from base 1 to 46 matches the Rfam family "Eukaryotic small subunit ribosomal RNA", at positions 1786 to 1831 of the family's 1831-position model. The record is from RNAcentral. Lineage: Eukaryota; Fungi.